CUGAGAGGAUGACCAGCCACACUGGAACUGAGACACGGUCCAGACUCCUACGGGAGGCAGCAGUGGGGAAUAUUGCACAAUGGGCGCAAGCCUGAUGCAGCCAUGCCGCGUGUAUGAAGAAGGCCUUCGGGUUGUAAAGUACUUUCAGCGGGGAGGAAGGGAGUAAAGUUAAUACCUUUGCUCAUUGACGUUACCCGCAGAAGAAGCACCGGCUAACUCCGUGCCAGCAGCCGCGGUAAUACGGAGGGUGCAAGCGUUAAUCGGAAUUACUGGGCGUAAAGCGCACGCAGGCGGUUUGUUAAGUCAGAUGUGAAAUCCCCGGGCUCAACCUGGGAACUGCAUCUGAUACUGGCAAGCUUGAGUCUCGUAGAGGGGGGUAGAAUUCCAGGUGUAGCG
Molecule: ribosomal RNA, 396 nt
Filed under: Escherichia coli
Lineage: Bacteria; Pseudomonadati; Pseudomonadota; Gammaproteobacteria; Enterobacterales; Enterobacteriaceae
Description: bacterial SSU rRNA
Rfam family: Bacterial small subunit ribosomal RNA
Source: RNAcentral